Molecule: ribosomal RNA, 1755 nt
Filed under: Scalpellum scalpellum
Lineage: Eukaryota; Metazoa; Arthropoda; Thecostraca; Scalpellidae
Description: eukaryotic LSU rRNA
Rfam family: Eukaryotic large subunit ribosomal RNA
Source: RNAcentral
AGUGAAGCGGGAUGAGCCCAGCACCGAAGCCGGCGGUCGAGAGGCCGUUGUGCAAUGUGGUGUUCGGGAGGGCUCUGUCCGUGUCCGGUGUCGGUCCAAGUCUCCUGGAAAGGAGUUCCGUGGAGGGUGACAGGCCCGUGCGACCGAUUGCCGCGUUCGCGGACGAGUCCUCCUUCGAGUCGGGUUGUUCGCUAAUGCAGCCCUAAGCAGGUGGUAAGCUCCAUCUAAGGCUAAAUAUAACCACGAGUCCGAUAGUCAACAAGUACAGUGAUGGAAAGUUGAAAAGUACUCUGAAGAGAGAGUCAAAUAGCCCGUGAAGCUGCCAGUAUGGGAUUAAGCGCACGUAUGACGCGUGUCGUCGGCCAAAUAGGCGACUGUUCGGUGUGCUCAUCUGCACGGCGACGUGCCAAGCGUACGUUUCUGUGUCUGGUGUUCGGCGUGCUGUGGCAGAGCGCUUCCCUUUGGUCGGCAUCGACAGGUCGGGGCUUCGUUGUCCACGGUCUUAUUGCCGGUUGUGAUUUGCAGAGCCGUGUCGAGCGGCGGCGCGGCUUCGGUCGUGUUGCCGUGUUCCGUCGAAUGUGCGCUCUCGCGGCGGCGACGGUCGGCUUGGUCUGCGAUGCAAUGCAGCCGAUGGCGAAUGACCGGACGACGGCCAGCGCAAGUGCGAAACUUUAUUGUUUCGGCUCGGCCUUUGCGUCGUUAUGUGCGGCCCGUCUUGAAACACGGACCAAGGAGUCUAACAUGUGAGCGAGCGAUUGAGAUUGUCUAAUCUCAGACGCGCAAUGAAAGUGAAGUGUCGUCUGACGGCACGAGCGAAGAUCCGUCGUCACUUGUGGCGGCGGCGCAUUCGCGGGCCGCGCUAUCGGCUGGCUUGCUUUUCGGAGCACUGCUGAGGCGCGGACCUAGAGCCCACACGUUGGGACCCGAAAGAUGGUGAACUAUGCCUGGCCAGGAUGAAGCCAGAGGAAACUCUGGUGGAGGUCCGCCGCGAUUCUGACGUGCAAAUCGAUCGUCUGAGCUGGGUAUAGGGGCGAAAGACCAAUCGAACCAUCUAGUAGCUGGUUCCGCCCGAAGUUUCCCUCAGGAUAGCUGGCGCUCGUGUGAAACGGAGUUUCAUCCGGUAAAGCGAAUGAUCAGAGGAGCUGGGCUCCUUGCGAGCUCAACCUAUUCUCAAACUUUCAAUGGGUGAGACGUCUCGCUGGCUUCACUGCAGCGACGACUCUGAAUCCGAGUGCCCAGUGGGCCACUUUUGGUAAGCAGAACUGGCGAUGCGGGAUGAACCGCAUGUCGAGUUAAGGUGCCUAAGCGAACGCAAAUCAGAUACCAUGAAAGGUGUUGAUUGCUCACGACAGCAGGACGGUGAUCAUGGAAGUCGAUAUCCGCUAAGGAGUGUGUAACAACUCACCUGCCGAAGCAAUCAGCCCUGAAAAUGGAUGGCGCUAAAGCGUCCCACCGAUACUCGACCGUCGUCGGCAUGCGAUCGACGAGCACUUGUGUUCACGAUCUGAAGCCACGACGAGUAGGGCGGCGCGGCGGUGAGCGUCGAAGGCGUAACCGUGAGGUUAGCUGGAGCCGCCGUCGGUGCAGAUCUUGGUGGUAGUAGCAAAUACACAAGCAAGAUCCUUGUGGACCGAUGUGGAGAAGGGGUUCCGCGCGAAUCAGUAUUUGGACGUGGGUGAGUCGGCCCUAAGCCAACGGGUAAUUCCCGCAUCCCGUGUUGUACGCUAGUUUCUGAAUCGAAUAACAUGGGUUGAU